UACGAAGGGGGCUAGCGUUGCUCGGAAUCACUGGGCGUAAAGCGCACGUAGGCGGCUUUUUAAGUCAGGGGUGAAAUCCUGGAGCUCAACUCCAGAACUGCCCUUGAAACUGGAAAGCUAGAAUCUUGGAGAGGCGAGUGGAAUUCCGAGUGUAGAGGUGAAAUUCGUAGAUAUUCGGAAGAACACCAGUGGCGAAGGCGACUCGCUGGACAAGUAUUGACGCUGAGGUGCGAAAGCGUGGGGAGCAAACAGG
This 253-nucleotide ribosomal RNA is filed under the name uncultured bacterium. Its description in RNAcentral is "partial 16S ribosomal RNA". It matches the Rfam family "Bacterial small subunit ribosomal RNA", at positions 524 to 776 of the family's 1533-position model. The record is from RNAcentral.